GACGAACGCUGGCGGCGUGCUUAACACAUGCAAGUCGAACGAAGAGCGCUGGAUGCUUGCUUCUAUCAAUCUUAGUGGCGAACGGGUGAGUAACGCGUAAUCAACCUGCCCUUCAGGGGGGGACAACAGUUGGUAACGACUGCUACUACCGCAUACGCCCUCUUCUCGGCAUCGAGGAUAGAUGUAAGGUGGCUUCUACAUGUAAGCUAUCACUGCAGGAUGUGAUUGCGGCUGUUUAGUAAGAAGGAGGGGUAGCGGCCCACCAAGGCGAUGAUCAGUAGCCGGACGGAGUGGAUGGACGGCCACAUUGAGACGGAGACACGGCCCAGACGCCUACGGAAGGCAGCAGUGGGGAAUCUGCCGCAAGGGACGAAAGUCUGACGGAGCAACGCCGCGUGAGUGAUGACGGCCGUCGCGUGGUAAAGCUCUGUUAAUCGGGACGAAAGGCCUUCUUGCGAACAGUUAGAAGGAUUGACGGUAACGGAAUAGAAAGCCACGGCUAACUACGUG
This 510-nucleotide ribosomal RNA is filed under the name uncultured bacterium. RNAcentral describes it as "partial 16S ribosomal RNA". It matches the Rfam family "Bacterial small subunit ribosomal RNA", at positions 28 to 507 of the family's 1533-position model. The record is from RNAcentral.